CGUGUUUUUGAUUGGACACCCUAUUGAAUUGCAUGCACAUGCCAGAUCACCUAGAGGAUGUUGAAAGUGCAUAUGUACAAAGAUGAACACUUGAUCUGCAGGUUAUUUUAGAGUGCCAUUUCUUCAGCUUCCUAUGGCUACCCAGUACAUCAAGGGUGUGUCCCAAUUGACACCCUAUUCACUAUAGUGCACUACUUUUUACCAGAGCCUUAUGGGCCCUGGUCGAAAGGUAAUAAGAUCUUAUAGGUAAUAAGAUUCCAUUUGAGACGCAACCCAAGUCAAGGCUCACUGAUAUGAAUGUGGCUCUACAUAGUGCCUUUAUUCACUGAGGACAAGACCAUGAUUAAUGUCAUCUUCUGCUUAAUGUCAGAAUUGCAUAACCGUCCUCUCAUGGAAAAUCUACAUUUUAGUUUGAAACACAAGGACCUGUUUUUGUUUUUGUGUGGUGGUGUGGUUCCAGACUGGUGUGUUUAGAUUUUUUACAAUUUUACCAUUGCCAGAUGUUUGUAAUGUUCGCAAUGUGAUGAGGAUCGUGUGUUUCUCCUAACUGCUAGACUAUCAAACUGUUAGUGACAACAUGGCCCUCCCAGAGCUGGUCAGGCUGGACUGGAUCAUCAUGUUCAUGCAACUAUUUGUCUCUCUUGAACGCCUUGACUGGUUAACUGGCCUCAUUGCAUUAACACAAUCUUGUCAGCUGAUUACAAUUGUGCAGUCAAGCUUGUGCUAAUUGCACCACCAUUCAUGGAGCUACUAUCAAAUCAAUCAAAUCAAAUUGUAUUUGUAACAUGCUUUGUAAACAACAGGUGUAGACUAACAGUGAAAUGCUUAGUUACGGGCCCUUCCCAACAACGCAGAGAGUAAAAUAAUAUAAACAAAUUAUAACACAAUGAAUAAAUACACAAUGACUAACGAUAACUUGGCUAUAUACACAGGGUAACAGUACCGAGUCAAUGUACAAAUCUGUAGUUCUGCCACUGAGCAAGGCAGUUAACCCACUGUUCUCCGGGUGCCGAAGACGUAACCGAAAGUCAGGGUGUCAUUUGGGACACACACUUGAUGUACUGUUCCCCGGGCGCCGAAGACGUGGAUGUCGAUUAAGGCAACCCCCCCCCGCACCUCUUCGAUUCAGAGUGGUUGGGUCAAAUGCGGAAGACACAUUUCAGUUGAAGGCAUUCAGUUCUACAGCUGACUAGGUAUCCCCCUUUCAGAAAGUAUUCAAACCUCUUAACUUUUUCCACAUUUUGUUGUGUUACAGCCUGAAUUUAAAAUGUAUUAAAUAGAUUUAGUUGCGCUGGCCUACACACAAUUCCCCAUAAUGUCAAAGUGUAAUUACGUUUUGAGAAAUGUUUACAAAUGAAUUAAA
Molecule: long non-coding RNA, 1363 nt
Filed under: Salmo salar (Atlantic salmon)
Lineage: Eukaryota; Metazoa; Chordata; Actinopteri; Salmoniformes; Salmonidae
Description: lncRNA (ENSSSAG00000104957.1)
Source: RNAcentral